UACGUAGGGUGCAAGCGUUAUCCGGAAUUAUUGGGCGUAAAGAGCUCGUAGGCGGUUUGUCGCGUCUGCUGUGAAAACCCGAGGCUCAACCUCGGGCCUGCAGUGGGUACGGGCAGACUAGAGUGCGGUAGGGGAGAUUGGAAUUCCUGGUGUAGCGGUGGAAUGCGCAGAUAUCAGGAGGAACACCGAUGGCGAAGGCAGAUCUCUGGGCCGUAACUGACGCUGAGGAGCGAAAGGGUGGGGAGCAAACAGG
RNAcentral lists this ribosomal RNA (253 nucleotides) under uncultured bacterium. Its description in RNAcentral is "partial 16S ribosomal RNA". It matches the Rfam family "Bacterial small subunit ribosomal RNA", at positions 524 to 776 of the family's 1533-position model. The record is from RNAcentral.